GCGGAAAUGGCGGAAUUGGUAGACGCACCAGAUUUAGGUUCUGGCGCCGGAAGGUGUGAGAGUUCAAGUCUCUCCUUCCGCACCA
RNAcentral lists this transfer RNA (85 nucleotides) under Vibrio parahaemolyticus. RNAcentral's name for it is "tRNA-Leu". It matches the Rfam family "tRNA". From Rfam's summary of the family: Transfer RNA (tRNA) molecules are approximately 80 nucleotides in length. Their secondary structure includes four short double-helical elements and three loops (D, anti-codon, and T loops). The record is from RNAcentral. Lineage: Bacteria; Pseudomonadati; Pseudomonadota; Gammaproteobacteria; Vibrionales; Vibrionaceae.